GGGAUACCACUUGGAAACAGGUGCUAAUACCGGAUAACAACAUGAAUCGCAUGAUUCAAGUUUGAAAGGCGGCGCAAGCUGUCACUUUAGGAUGAGCCCGCGGCGCAUUAGCUAGUUGGUGGGGUAAAGGCCUACCAAGGCAAUGAUGCGUAGCCGAGUUGAGAGACUGAUCGGCCACAUUGGGACUGAGACACGGCCCAAACUCCUACGGGAGGCAGCAGUAGGGAAUCUUCCACAAUGGACGCAAGUCUGAUGGAGCAACGCCGCGUGA
RNAcentral lists this ribosomal RNA (271 nucleotides) under Lactobacillus delbrueckii. Its description in RNAcentral is "partial 16S ribosomal RNA". It matches the Rfam family "Bacterial small subunit ribosomal RNA", at positions 140 to 404 of the family's 1533-position model. RNAcentral also lists the same sequence under 1 other name. The record is from RNAcentral. Lineage: Bacteria; Bacillati; Bacillota; Bacilli; Lactobacillales; Lactobacillaceae.